Molecule: unclassified non-coding RNA, 374 nt
Filed under: uncultured Penicillium
Lineage: Eukaryota; Fungi; Ascomycota; Eurotiomycetes; Eurotiales; Aspergillaceae
Description: sequence contains ITS2
Rfam family: 5.8S ribosomal RNA (bases 1-154)
Source: RNAcentral
AACUUUCGACAACGGAUCACUUGGUUCCGGCAUCGAUGAAGAACGCAGCGAAAUGCGAUAACUAAUGUGAAUUGCAGAAUUCAGUGAAUCAUCGAGUCUUUGAACGCACAUUGCGCCCCCUGGUAUUCCGGGGGGCAUGCCUGUCCGAGCGUCAUUGCUGCCCUCAAGCACGGCUUGUGUGUUGGGCUCCGUCCCCCCGGGGACGGGCCCGAAAGGCAGCGGCGGCACCGAGUCCGGUCCUCGAGCGUAUGGGGCUUUGUCACCCGCUCUGUAGGCCCGGCCGGCGCCAGCCGACAACCCAUCAUCCUUUUCAGGUUGACCUCGGAUCAGGUAGGGAUACCCGCUGAACUUAAGCAUAUCAAUAAGCGGAGGCU